Molecule: small RNA, 111 nt
Filed under: Lysobacter dokdonensis DS-58
Lineage: Bacteria; Pseudomonadati; Pseudomonadota; Gammaproteobacteria; Lysobacterales; Lysobacteraceae
Description: Xanthomonadaceae sRNA sX13
Rfam family: Xanthomonadaceae sRNA sX13
Source: Rfam by way of RNAcentral
AAGGUCUGACGCAGAUCUCUCCCUCCCCUGGAGUGAUCCCCGGAGCGCGACUCCUCCCCAAGUCCCGCUCCCCAGCCCCGCCGGUCUCCCCCUGGCCUGCGGGGCUUUUUA